UACAGAGGUCUCAAGCGUUGUUCGGAUUCAUUGGGCGUAAAGGGUGCGUAGGCGGCGCGGUAAGUCGGGUGUGAAAUCUCGGAGCUUAACUCCGAAACUGCAUUCGAUACUGCCGUGCUUGAGGACUGGAGAGGAGACUGGAAUUUACGGUGUAGCGGUGAAAUGCGCAGAUAUCAGGAGGAACACCGGUGGCGAAGGCGGAUCUCUGGGCCUGUUCUGACGCUGAGGCGCGAAAGCUAGGGGAGCGAACAGG
RNAcentral lists this ribosomal RNA (253 nucleotides) under uncultured bacterium. RNAcentral describes it as "partial 16S ribosomal RNA". It matches the Rfam family "Bacterial small subunit ribosomal RNA", at positions 524 to 776 of the family's 1533-position model. The record is from RNAcentral.